This 29-nucleotide non-coding RNA is filed under the name Homo sapiens (human). The record is from RNAcentral. Lineage: Eukaryota; Metazoa; Chordata; Mammalia; Primates; Hominidae.
ACACAACCAGGAGGCCGCACACACAGGGC